This 354-nucleotide ribosomal RNA is filed under the name Triticum aestivum (bread wheat). Its description in RNAcentral is "partial small subunit ribosomal RNA". The record is from RNAcentral. Lineage: Eukaryota; Viridiplantae; Streptophyta; Magnoliopsida; Poales; Poaceae.
AUGACUAUACAUGCCUGUUGUGUGAUAAUCCUCCCGAGGAAACCCUGGCAAUUCUCUGGGGUAACUUGGCCAAACUCUGAAUGUAGACUUGAGAUGUUGCACAUGGGAAAACAAACUUGGCACAAACCCUUGUUCAUGGAAACUUUCAUUGUUGCCGUAUCGGGAUCUGUAUGGAGAGAAAUGACAAGUCCUUCAGAGGAAUGCCCAUGCAAGCAUUAUCCAACAAAUAACAAGUCUGCUUAUUCAUGCAUGCACACCCUCAGAAGACCACAAUCGGCCAAAGAAAUCUUCUUUGCUCAAAUUAUGUAUGCUUAUCUAUAUGAGGUAUCUCUGCCUAUGUUGCUUGCUUUUUAA